CUUGCUUCUCUUGAGAGCGGCGGACGGGUGAGUAAUGCCUAGGAAUCUGCCUGGUAGUGGGGGAUAACGUUCGGAAACGGACGCUAAUACCGCAUACGUCCUACGGGAGAAAGCAGGGGACCUUCGGGCCUUGCGCUAUCAGAUGAGCCUAGGUCGGAUUAGCUAGUUGGUGGGGUAAUGGCUCACCAAGGCGACGAUCCGUAACUGGUCUGAGAGGAUGAUCAGUCACACUGGAACUGAGACACGGUCCAGACUCCUACGGGAGGCAGCAGUGGGGAAUAUUGGACAAUGGGCGAAAGCCUGAUCCAGCCAUGCCGCGUGUGUGAAGAAGGUCUUCGGAUUGUAAAGCACUUUAAGUUGGGAGGAAGGGUUGUAGAUUAAUACUCUGCAAUUUUGACGUUACCGACAGAAUAAGCACCGGCUAACUCUGUGCCAGCAGCCGCGGUAAUACAGAGGGUGCAAGCGUUAAUCGGAAUUACUGGGCGUAAAGCGCGCGUAGGUGGUUUGUUAAGUUGGAUGUGAAAUCCCCGGGCUCAACCUGGGAACUGCAUUCAAAACUGACUGACUAGAGUAUGGUAGAGGGUGGUGGAAUUUCCUGUGUAGCGGUGAAAUGCGUAGAUAUAGGAAGGAACACCAGUGGCGAAGGCGACCACCUGGACUAAUACUGACACUGAGUGCGAAAGCGUGGGGGAGCAAAC
This 698-nucleotide ribosomal RNA is filed under the name uncultured bacterium. Its description in RNAcentral is "bacterial SSU rRNA". It matches the Rfam family "Bacterial small subunit ribosomal RNA", at positions 79 to 773 of the family's 1533-position model. The record is from RNAcentral.